RNAcentral lists this ribosomal RNA (271 nucleotides) under uncultured bacterium. RNAcentral's name for it is "partial 16S ribosomal RNA". It matches the Rfam family "Bacterial small subunit ribosomal RNA", at positions 524 to 794 of the family's 1533-position model. The record is from RNAcentral.
UACGAAGGGUGCAAGCGUUAAUCGGAAUUACUGGGCGUAAAGCGCGCGUAGGUGGUUCAGCAAGUUGGAUGUGAAAGCCCUGGGCUUAACCUGGGAAGUGCAUUGGAAACUGGCGAACUUGAGUAUGGGAGAGGAAAGUGGAAUUCCGAGUGUAGGGGUGAAAUCCGUAGAUAUUCGGAGGAACACCAGUGGCGAAGGCGGCUUUCUGGACCAAUACUGACGCUGAGACGCGAAAGCGUGGGGAGCAAACAGGAUUAGAAACCCGGGUAGU